GUGACAGCUACGGAGACUGAAGUCUUUAUUUAUCCACAGACAAGCACAGCAUGAAUGGCAGUAGUGCACGCUGCUGCAGUGAUGUGCUUCAGAACCUGACCAAGAAGGUAAAUUGGCAGAUUCCACAAUCAUUCAGUUUUUGGUCUCU
Chelonoidis abingdonii (Abingdon island giant tortoise) is the source of this 148-nucleotide unclassified non-coding RNA. The record is from Ensembl. Lineage: Eukaryota; Metazoa; Chordata; Testudines; Testudinidae.